This 238-nucleotide long non-coding RNA is filed under the name Lathyrus oleraceus (garden pea). Its description in RNAcentral is "Pisum sativum (pea) long non-coding RNA (PSAT_LNC037087)". The record is from RNAcentral. Lineage: Eukaryota; Viridiplantae; Streptophyta; Magnoliopsida; Fabales; Fabaceae.
AAUUAUGGAAGGUUGGAAAUAAAAUGAGAAACAUAUAAUAAAAUUUUCAGAAUUUUAAAAUGCAGAAAAAUAUUUUUAAACCAAUUAAAAAAAGGAGAAAAGAGAAAAUUCAUAAAAAAAAUAUAAAAUCAGUGGAAAAAAUAAAAAUCAAAUGAAGAAAAAUAAAAGAGAAUUUUAGAAAUUAUUUUGGGCUUUUUUGGAUGAAAAAUGAAAUUACUACGAAUUUUUAAAGAAAAAA